RNAcentral lists this ribosomal RNA (254 nucleotides) under uncultured prokaryote. Its description in RNAcentral is "partial 16S ribosomal RNA". It matches the Rfam family "Bacterial small subunit ribosomal RNA", at positions 524 to 776 of the family's 1533-position model. The record is from RNAcentral.
UACGUAGGACCCAAGCGUUAUCCGGAAUUACUGGGCGUAAAGAGUUGCGUAGGUGGCAUAGUAAGCAGAUAGUGAAACCGUGCGGCUCAACCGCAUAACCAUUAUCUGAACUGCUAAGCUUGAGUAUAGGAGAGGUACCUGGAAUUUCUAGUGUAGGAGUGAAAUCCGUAGAUAUUAGAAGGAACACCGAUGGCGUAGGCAGGGUACUGGCCUAUUACUGACACUAAGGCACGAAAGCGUGGGGAGCGAACGGG